GCCCGGGUGAUGGAAUGGUAGACAUGAGGGACUUAAAAUCCCUUGAGAGUAACAUCUCGUGCCAGUUCGACUCUGGCCCCGGGCA
RNAcentral lists this transfer RNA (85 nucleotides) under Minisyncoccota bacterium. RNAcentral's name for it is "tRNA-Leu". It matches the Rfam family "tRNA". Rfam says of the family: Transfer RNA (tRNA) molecules are approximately 80 nucleotides in length. The record is from RNAcentral. Lineage: Bacteria; Bacillati; Minisyncoccota.